Molecule: ribosomal RNA, 996 nt
Filed under: uncultured Tricholomataceae
Lineage: Eukaryota; Fungi; Basidiomycota; Agaricomycetes; Agaricales; Tricholomataceae
Description: eukaryotic LSU rRNA
Rfam family: 5.8S ribosomal RNA (bases 624-777)
Source: RNAcentral
GAUUCUUCCGCAGUGAUACUUAUUGAAGCCUUUGCAAUCUCGCAAGAGGGUGUUCUAGCGACUCUAAAUAAUCAGAGCUUAGUGCAAGUCAGUUUAUUUCUGGCAACACUUUCGAAUUGACGGGGACGCCCUAAAGCCUAUGACACCAACCUAUGAGGGAAACCUACGUAGGGGCACAUGCGAAAGACAUGUGGUAUGGUAAAAGAGCAUAGGAUAACGUUCUAAUUAGAAUACUAUGGGUAAUCCGCAGCGAAGCCUCUAAGUCUUUCGAGAUAUGAGGAACGUUCACAGACUAAGUGGAAGUGGGUGGGGCUUUGUCCUGCUUAAGAUAUAGUCGGGCCUCUGGGGAAACUCAGAGGGUAAAUCACUGCUGUUGAUACUGCUCUAUAGUACAACAUCUAGUCCUAGUCUUGAGUGAAGAUGUUGCAUAGGGGUUAGGAGCUGUAAAGUUCUAACUUCUUACGAGCUGAUCAACUUUGACAAAACGUUCCGUAGGUGAACCUGCGGAAGGAUCAUCAUUGAAUUUCCGGCUUAAUGCCGGUUGAGUGCACACUCACGCCGCCUUACGGUGGCUACUCUCAAACCCAAACUAGUCAGUGAAUGUGAAUUUGUAUAACAAAUACAACUUUCAACAACGGAUCUCUUGGCUCUCGCAUCGAUGAAGAACGCGGCGAAAUGCGAUAAGUAAUGUGAAUUGCAGAUUUCAGUGAAUCAUCGAGUCUUUGAACGCACCUUGCGCUCCUAGGUCUUCCGAGGAGCAUGCCUGUUUGAGUGCCCAGAAUCAAUCUCAACUUAACACUUUGUGUUUAAGUUGGACCUGGAGGUCUGCCGUCGAUUGUUCACGGCUCCUUCUAAAUAUAUUAGCUGCUUGGUGAUUACACCGUUAGCUUGAUAUCAUGUCUAUGCUGCGGUUGAAUUAUUCCAGUGCUUCUAAUCGUCUUACGACAUAUUCUGAGCUCGGGCCUCAAAUCAGGUAGGAUUACCCGCUGACUUAAG